UGCAUUCACUACUCCAAGUCGCUCUGGAUAAGAGCGUCUGCUAAAUGACUAAAA
Non-coding RNA from Salmo salar (Atlantic salmon), 54 nucleotides. Lineage: Eukaryota; Metazoa; Chordata; Actinopteri; Salmoniformes; Salmonidae. The record is from Rfam.